AGUGAACGCUGGCGGUAGGCCUAACACAUGCAAGUCGAACGGCAGCACAGUAAGAGCUUGCUCUUACGGGUGGCGAGUGGCGGACGGGUGAGGAAUACAUCGGAAUCUACUUUUUCGUGGGGGAUAACGUAGGGAAACUUACGCUAAUACCGCAUACGACCUACGGGUGAAAGCAGGGGAUCUUCGGACCUUGCGCGAUUGAAUGAGCCGAUGUCGGAUUAGCUAGUUGGCGGGGUAAAGGCCCACCAAGGCGACGAUCCGUAGCUGGUCUGAGAGGAUGAUCAGCCACACUGGAACUGAGACACGGUCCAGACUCCUACGGGAGGCAGCAGUGGGGAAUAUUGGACAAUGGGCGCAAGCCUGAUCCAGCCAUGCCGCGUGUGUGAAGAAGGCCUUCGGGUUGUAAAGCCCUUCUGUUGGGAAAGAAAAGCAGCAGGUUAAUACCCCGCUGUUCUGACGGUACCCAAAGAAUAAGCACCGGCUAACUUCGUG
This 492-nucleotide ribosomal RNA is filed under the name uncultured bacterium. RNAcentral describes it as "partial 16S ribosomal RNA". It matches the Rfam family "Bacterial small subunit ribosomal RNA", at positions 29 to 507 of the family's 1533-position model. The record is from RNAcentral.